This 476-nucleotide ribosomal RNA is filed under the name uncultured anaerobic ammonium-oxidizing bacterium. RNAcentral's name for it is "bacterial SSU rRNA". It matches the Rfam family "Bacterial small subunit ribosomal RNA", at positions 365 to 832 of the family's 1533-position model. The record is from RNAcentral.
UUCGCAAUGCCCGAAAGGGUGACGAUGCGACGCCGCGUGAGCGAAGAAGGCCCUAGGGUUGUAAAGCUCUGUCGAGGGUUAUGAAAUAUAGAUGGGUUAAUACCCCAUUUAUUUGACAAAAGCCCAAAAGGAAGCCACGGCUAACUCUGUGCCAGCAGCCGCGGUAAUACAGAGGUGGCGAGCGUUGUUCGGUAUUAUUGGGCGUAAAGAGCACGUAGGUGGUUUUGUAAGUCAGGUGUGAAAGCCUUCUGUUCAAAGGAAGAACGGCAUCUGAAACUGCAGAUCUUGAGUGUAGGAGGGGAGAGUGGAACUUCUGGUGGAGCGGUGAAAUGCGUAGAUAUCAGAAGGAACGUCGGCGGCGAAAGCGACUCUCUGGCCUAUUACUAACACUGAGGUGCGAAAGUUAGGGGAGCAAACGGGAUUAGAUACCCCGGUAGUCCUAACCGUAAACGAUGGGCACUAAGUAGAGGGGUUUU